GAUGAACGCUGGCGGCGUGCCUAAUACAUGCAAGUCGAGCGAAUGGAUUAAGAGCUUGCUCUUAUGAAGUUAGCGGCGGACGGGUGAGUAACACGUGGGUAACCUGCCCAUAAGACUAGGAUAACUCCGGGAACCCGGGGCUAAUACCGGAUAACAUUUUGAACCGCAUGGUUCGAAAUUGAAAGGCGGCUUCGGCUGUCACUUAUGGAUGGACCCGCGUCGCAUUAGCUAGUUGGUGAGGUAACGGCGCACCAAGGCAACGAUGCGUAGCCGACCUGAGAGGGUGAUCGGCCACACUGGGACUGAGACACGGCCCAGACUCCUACGGGAGGCAGCAGUAGGGAAUCUUCCGCAAUGGACGAAAGUCUGACGGUGCAACGCCGCGUGAGUGAUGAAGGCUUUCGGGUCGUAAAACUCUGUUGUUAGGGAAGAACAAGUGCUAGUUGAAUAAGCUGGCACCUUGACGGUACCUAACCAGAAAGCCACGGCUAACUACGUGCCAGCAGCCGCAGUAA
RNAcentral lists this ribosomal RNA (515 nucleotides) under uncultured bacterium. RNAcentral's name for it is "partial 16S ribosomal RNA". It matches the Rfam family "Bacterial small subunit ribosomal RNA", at positions 28 to 523 of the family's 1533-position model. The record is from RNAcentral.